This 1015-nucleotide ribosomal RNA is filed under the name Skrjabinotaenia sp. FC9. RNAcentral's name for it is "partial large subunit ribosomal RNA". The stretch from base 167 to 474 matches the Rfam family "Bacterial large subunit ribosomal RNA", at positions 2049 to 2651 of the family's 2925-position model. The record is from RNAcentral. Lineage: Eukaryota; Metazoa; Platyhelminthes; Cestoda; Cyclophyllidea; Catenotaeniidae.
UUUUUAAUUUUUUUUUUUUUUAUUGGUGGGGCUUUUUUUUUUUUAUAAAAAGGGCCGCAUUAUGACUGUGCGAAGGUAGCAUAAUUAGUUGCCUUUUAAUUGAGGGCUUGUUUGAAUGGUUUGACGGAGUAAAUCUGAAUAUUUGAGUUAUAUUUGAAAUUUAUGGGUAGGGUACAGAAUCCUACUAUAUUAAUUAGACGGAAAGACCCCGGGAUCUUGAUAUUUUGCCUGGGGCAGGUGUCAGUUUUUUAUUGGUAUUUUGUUCCUAAAUUUAGAUUGAUGGUUAAGUUACCCCGGGGAUAACAGUGUAAUAGUUAAGUAGAGAUCUUAUCGAGUUAACUGAUUGCCACCUCGAUGUUGACUUAAGUGUAGCUUAGGCGCAAUAGUUUAAGCUUUGGGUCUGUUCGACCUUAUGAACUUCCAUGAGUUGAGUUAAGACCGGCGUGAGCCAGGUCGGUUCUUAUCUAUUAAUGAAACUUAUUAGUACGAAAGGACCAUAAGUUUUUUUAUUAAGUAUGAAGCGUUAUGCCUUAGUUUUGCAAAAGCUAAUGAGAAGAAUUUUCAGGGCUUCCAUACUUUAUAUGUUUAACUAUGGCAACAGGAAGUGCUUGUUACAAUAAUUGCAUAAAAAUAUUAUGUUUUUACUGAGUAUGGUAUUGAUUUGGAUUAUUAGCAGUUAGUUUUUUAUUUAGAUGAGAGUCUUUUAAGAUUGUAAUUUAUAAAGGGGAUAGGACACAGUGCCAGCAUCUGCGGUUAUUCUGUUUUCUUUGCUUUCAAAUGGACUGUGCUUAAAUAUUACUAGGUAAGUUUGGGUGAAAUUUACUUAUGUUUUUAUUCAAUAUUUAGGUUUUGAUAAAUAGCUUUUUGUGACAGGGAUUAGAUACCCCAUUAAUUGGUUAUUAUAUUAGGUCUUAGUAUCAACUAAAAUAGUUUGGCAGCGAACGAAUCUUAUCGGGGGAAGGGGUGUAUUUAAAAGAGUAAAAAAAAAUAUUAAAUCGUUUUGGUGGUUAUUACC